AGUGAGGUGGCUGAGAACUCAAGCAAUAGACUGUAAAUCUAUAAACGAAUUAUAUUCCCUCAUUA
Molecule: transfer RNA, 65 nt
Filed under: Glycera tesselata
Lineage: Eukaryota; Metazoa; Annelida; Polychaeta; Phyllodocida; Glyceridae
Description: tRNA-Tyr
Rfam family: tRNA
About the family: Transfer RNA (tRNA) molecules are approximately 80 nucleotides in length. Their secondary structure includes four short double-helical elements and three loops (D, anti-codon, and T loops). Further hydrogen bonds mediate the characteristic L-shaped molecular structure. tRNAs have two regions of fundamental functional importance: the anti-codon, which is responsible for specific mRNA codon recognition, and the 3' end, to which the tRNAs corresponding amino acid is attached (by aminoacyl-tRNA synthetases). tRNAs cope with the degeneracy of the genetic code in two manners: having more than one tRNA (with a specific anti-codon) for a particular amino acid; and 'wobble' base-pairing, i.e. permitting non-standard base-pairing at the 3rd anti-codon position.
Source: RNAcentral